Molecule: ribosomal RNA, 398 nt
Filed under: uncultured bacterium
Lineage: Bacteria
Description: bacterial SSU rRNA
Rfam family: Bacterial small subunit ribosomal RNA
Source: RNAcentral
GGAAUAUUGGACAAUGGGCGCAACCCUGAUCCAGCCAUGCCGCGUGCGUGAAGACGGCCUUAGGGUUGUAAAGCGCUUUCACUGGUGAAGAUGAUGACGGUAGCCAGAGCAGACGCACCGGCUAACUCCGUGCCAGCAGCCGCGGUAAUACGGAGGGGGCAAGCGUUGGUCGGAAUUACUGGGCGUAAAGGGCGCGUAGGCGGAACAUCAAGUGAGGGGUGAAAGGCCCGGGCUCAACCUGGGAACGGCCUCUAAAACUGAUGAUCUUGAGUCCGGAAGAGGAUGGCGGAAUUCCCAGUGUAGAGGUGAAAUUCGUAGAUAUUGGGAAGAACACCGGUGGCGAAGGCGGCCAUCUGGUCCGGAACUGACGCUGAGGCGCGAAAGCGUGGGGAGCAAAC